RNAcentral lists this ribosomal RNA (301 nucleotides) under uncultured bacterium. RNAcentral's name for it is "partial 16S ribosomal RNA". It matches the Rfam family "Bacterial small subunit ribosomal RNA", at positions 509 to 807 of the family's 1533-position model. The record is from RNAcentral.
CAGUCGCCGCGGUAAUACGGAGGGUGCAAGCGUUAAUCGGAAUUACUGGGCGUAAAGCGCACGCAGGCGGUCUGUCAAGUCAGAUGUGAAAUCCCCGGGCUUAACCUGGGAACUGCAUUUGAAACUGGCAGGCUAGAGUCUUGUAGAGGGGGGUAGAAUUCCAGGUGUAGCGGUGAAAUGCGUAGAGAUCUGGAGGAAUACCGGUGGCGAAGGCGGCCCCCUGGACAAAGACUGACGCUCAGGUGCGAAAGCGUGGGGAGCAAACAGGAUUAGAUACCCCGGUAGUCCCUGUCUCUUAUAC